This 1039-nucleotide unclassified non-coding RNA is filed under the name Hevea brasiliensis (rubber tree). Lineage: Eukaryota; Viridiplantae; Streptophyta; Magnoliopsida; Malpighiales; Euphorbiaceae. The record is from RNAcentral.
GGUUAAAGCAACUGUUGCUAUAGUUGAAUCAGAUCAAGUCCUAAAAGGAAUUCUGGAUUUUGUCAACAAACAUAACAUCAGAAAGCUUAUAAUUGGGGCUAUACCGGAUUGUGUGAAGGUUAAGAAAAGCUCCAGGAAAGCAAGUUAUGCUGCCACAAAGUUCCCUACAUUCUGUGAAAUAUUCUUUGUGUACAAAGGAAGACUAAUCUGGAUUAGACAACCCCCUGAAUGCUCAAGCUUCAUUGCACCUAUUUCUCCUAAUACUCAAGCAGGGGCUGUUGAUGUAUGUGGUUUAAGAUCUCAGUGUCUGAAGUCUUGCGAGAAUGAGGUUAUCCUGUUCCCAGAACGUGUUCAGUCAAGCUUGUCUAGGGACCUGCUGUCAUCUGGAAUAAAAAAGUUAGUUCUUGAAGCGGGGAUUCCAUCACAAACUGAUUUACGGGUCAAGGAUUUUUCUUCUUCCAGCAGAAGCAAUCUGAUCAGUGUUCCUAGUUUAUCUAUUUCAACAAGUUCUAUUCAUGAUAUCAGUUGUGCUUCUUCAGUUGAACAAAUGGUGCCCCCUGAUGCGGAGAUGGAAAGUUUAUACAAACAGCUGGCAGAAGUCGGCACAGAAUUUGAAUCAUCAAGGAAUGAAGCUUUUGCAGAGAUUCUGAAGCGCAAAAAACUGGAAGCUGAAGCUGAAGAAGCCAUCAGAAAGAUAAAAGCAUUUGAAUCUGCUCAUGCACGUGAAGUUAAACUGAGGAAGGAAGCUGAGGAUGCUCUGGAAACUACAUUGCUGGAAAAAAAGAAGCUCUUGAUGGAGAAAAAGGAGAAAACUUAUGAGCUGUGCAAGGCCAUGAGAAAUAUAGCCCUCCUGGAUUGUCGUGCACAGGAGGCUGAUCGACGAUGUGAAGAGAUCACUGGAGAAUUGACAUUGAUUCACUCCUCCAUAUCAACUCUCCAGCAGGAGAAGCAGAAACUUAAGCAGAAAAACACUGAGGCCAUGCACUGGAUUAAUUCGUGGAAGAAUCGUGGAAAAUAUGGAGGACAAAGUGCAAUUGAC